GCGUCACUACCUUCAAUGUGACACAUGAAAAUUAUUAUCGGAGUGUCACUUCCUUCAACGUGACAUGUUGAAUUAUUAUCGGAGUGUCAUCUCCCUAAAAGUGAUACAUUACAUAUUAUAAUUGAAUCAUCACAUCGUUCAAAUUGAUACCAUUUUGGAACACCACUUCUUUCAAAAAAAUUACACUUGACAUUGGAUCGUCAUCUCCUUCAGUAUGACAAGUUAUACCAGUGAAUUGAGACAUAGACCAAAGAGGAAUAUCAAACUCUUAGGACGCGAGUUGAGGAACGACUUCCACCACAAUCAAAUCCUAUCUCUAUCCUAAGGCAUGUGGUUUUUUUUUGGGUUUAAUAGUUUUAGUUUCGGCUUCAAAGAAAAUUUCAACUCUCAGUGAAGGAAAAUUUUUAAAUUUGUGUGACAAUACACCUAAAGCUUCGAAAGUUAUGCUUAUGUAAAUUCUUAGCUAUUAGUAUGAAGGUCCCAAUAUUCAUAGUUAAGAUGUUUGCACGCAUCUUUUUCACUCUCAAUUACUUUAUCACUCAUCCUUAAGCUAAAGGUUACUUCCACAUAAGAGAUUUUCUUUUUAACCAAUUGAGUUAAACUACAAGUAGCCUGAGAUAUGUAGGAAAUCCACUUUCGAGGUUCGGCCAUAAUUCCUCAAAAUCCUUACCAUUUACCAUUCCUAAGAGAAGAAUUAGCAGAUGGACGAAAUUGAAUUUGUCAUUUUCGUUUGCCUCGAAUUUCUUUCAUCAUCCAAGUCAAACGAGGGGCAGUGUUGACACCCAAUUUUGACUCUCCAUAAUUGGAAUUGAAUUUGAAUUUCUUAAAUUCCAAAA
Solanum lycopersicum (tomato) is the source of this 836-nucleotide long non-coding RNA. RefSeq lists it as uncharacterized. NCBI's taxonomy places the organism in Eukaryota, Viridiplantae, Streptophyta, Magnoliopsida, Solanales, Solanaceae. The record is from RefSeq and is a predicted model, not a curated record.